Long non-coding RNA from Acanthochromis polyacanthus (spiny chromis), 2025 nucleotides. RefSeq lists it as uncharacterized. The transcript is spliced from 2 exons. Lineage: Eukaryota; Metazoa; Chordata; Actinopteri; Pomacentridae. The record is from RefSeq and is a predicted model, not a curated record.
GUCCAACCCCUCCCAUCUGGAACAUCUGGACCUGAGAGGAAACAACCUGCGGUAUUCAUCAGUGAAACAUCUGUUAGAUCUUGUGGAGAGUCCAGACUGCAUCCUGAAGACUCUGAGCUGGAAGGGGUUGUGCUGAUCAGGACGGUGUUUGUGGUGAGAGGAUGAAGUGUGUCCUGAUGAUCCAGAGGUUGAAGCAGCAGCAGCUGGUGUGUAGAGACUCUGACUGGACCAUGUUACUGGGAGGUGGACUGGGAACCAGUGUAAAGUGUGUUGUUAUCACUGUGUAGUUUAGUGUUGCAGCUCCACACUGUGAAUGAUGGAGAACUGCAGUUAAUGUUGACAUGAAACGUUGGAGGUUGAUGUCAGGUUGCAGAGUGUGCAGUAAGUUUCAGGAUGUUUGUGUCGGUGCAGGAUUCUAUUUCAGUUGACUUUCUAUUUCCAGCUGCAGUCAAAGUUGUUGAGCUUCUCUACCUGCAACACAUUGAGCUGAUGAGAACAAAGUGUCCUGGAAACAUGUCAGCUGAAGCCUUGGAGCCCAGAGAGAGUUUAAUGAAGCACAUUUUACUGGGUUUUGAUCACAUCAUGAGGAGGAGACAAACAGCUCUGAAGAUGAAUCCAGUUUAGUCCUCAAAGGUCCAGAAGCAGCUUGUUGAGCUCAGAGUUCAUAUUUAAUGUCAACAUCCUUUGACCUUUCUGAGCUCCACUAAAUGUUUCUUCUAGUUUCUCUCUUCUUCACCUUCACUCGGUUCCUCGUGUUCAGAAGCUUCCAGAUCACUGAUAUUCUUUGUUUUCUGAGCUGCUGCUUUCUUUAAAUCCCUCCAAAGAUUUUAACUGGGAUUAAAUCCAGGACUGAGACGAACCUCCAGGACUUUCCAGGAAGGAUUCCUGAAGCAGGCUUUGGUGGACGUUUGCUUUGGAUGCUGGUCCUGCUGAAAGUCCAGUGAGCUUCAGUUUCCUCACAUUGUUCUUGUAACUGUCCUGGUGUUUGAGAGAAUCCAUGCUGCUGCUCACACGUUCCAGUUUAGCAGCUUCAGAGCCACCAACAGGACUGUUGAUGCUGUUCUUCUGGUCCUUCUGCCUCCAGACGUUCUGCCCAAACAGUCCACUUUAGUCUCAUCAGUCCAUCAGACUCCCAGAACUCUGCUUUGUUCCACACAUGAAGAUCUUGUUGUUCAGUGUUGUCAGACUUUAGUUUCUGCCUUCAUCGGGUCCUGCAGCUCUUCACCAAUAAAACAGGUUUUCUACCAGCUGCUGCUGUCAAACAUCUGCUUCCUCUUGGACAGAUUUUGUCCAGUUUGAUUCAUUGACUCAGUUCAUCCACAUGAGAUUUCUCCUGGUCCUUUCUUCAGAUGAGCCAGAAAAUCUUCAAGUCUUCAUCAACACUCAGUCUCCUGGUGAACUCCAAGUAUUUUCUAUCCUCAGACUUAAUAAAGAACAAAACACCAACGUCACACUCCAAGUCAGUCAGAGUCAGAUGAAGUCUGAGAUUUCCUGUCAUUUCAGCUCCAUGCAGCAAACAGAGGCUGGUUCAUGAACACUGUCAAUAGUCAUGGAUAUGGGAUCCCCUAGUCAGCAAUAAGGAUGGGGUUAUGAAGGAACGGCAGCAAAAUGAGGGAGCAUUGUAUGAUAUUAUAACCUGUGAUUUAUAAUGCUAUAUGCUAUAAGCUAAUGAAUGUGAUGGAGAGCUGGUCCGGUUAUUCCCUGACGGCUGAAUAAGUUAAUUUGGGGGUCACUGGCCCUGAGGAUCGCCAACACAGACUCUGAUUCUGAGCUGAAAAUCCACAUUUUUACCCUCUGACUGAUAUCUGCCCACUUGGAGCCUCAGUUCCAGGUUUUCAGUCCUUCAUCUGUUUCUGGGGAUGUUCCGGCGUUAUCUUUUAGUUUAUCAUGACCUCAUCUUUGGUAAUGAUUCAGUCUAACAUUUUUACAAUCGUAAUCAUGAAACAUAAUCCUGAGUCAUUUUGUAAAUAAAAAUAAAGGCCUUUAUGCUUUUAAAUAAAGUUUAUCUGUAAACUUGUCAAAGUG